This 1354-nucleotide ribosomal RNA is filed under the name uncultured bacterium. RNAcentral's name for it is "bacterial SSU rRNA". It matches the Rfam family "Bacterial small subunit ribosomal RNA", at positions 8 to 1379 of the family's 1533-position model. The record is from RNAcentral.
AGAGUUUGAUCCUGGCUCAGGAUGAACGCUGGCGGCGUGCUUAACACAUGCAAGUCGAGCGAUGAAGUUUCCUUCGGGAAACGGAUUAGCGGCGGACGGGUGAGUAACACGUGGGUAACCUGCCUCAUAGAGUGGAAUAGCCUUCCGAAAGGAAGAUUAAUACCGCAUAAUGUUGAAAGAUGGCAUCAUCAUUUAACCAAAGGAGCAAUCCGCUAUGAGAUGGACCCGCGGCGCAUUAGCUAGUUGGUGGGGUAACGGCCUACCAAGGCGACGAUGCGUAGCCGACCUGAGAGGGUGAUCGGCCACAUUGGGACUGAGACACGGCCCAGACUCCUACGGGAGGCAGCAGUGGGGAAUAUUGCACAAUGGGGGAAACCCUGAUGCAGCAACGCCGCGUGAGUGAUGAAGGUUUUCGGAUUGUAAAGCUCUGUCUUUGGGGAAGAUAAUGACGGUACCCAAGGAGGAAGCCACGGCUAACUACGUGCCAGCAGCCGCGGUAAUACGUAGGUGGCGAGCGUUAUCCGGAUUUACUGGGCGUAAAGGGAGCGUAGGCGGAUGAUUAAGUGGGAUGUGAAAUACCCGGGCUCAACUUGGGUGCUGCAUUCCAAACUGGUUAUCUAGAGUGCAGGAGAGGAGAGUGGAAUUCCUAGUGUAGCGGUGAAAUGCGUAGAGAUUAGGAAGAACACCAGUGGCGAAGGCGACUCUCUGGUCUGUAACUGACGCUGAGGCUCGAAAGCAUGGGUAGCAAACAGAAGUAGAUACCCUGGUAGUCCAUGCCGUAAACGAGCCUAGUGAGGUGUGGAGGGUUUCCGCCCUUCAGUGCCGCAGCUAACGCAUUAAGCACUCCGCCUGGGGAGUACGACCGCAAGGUUGAAACUCAAAGGAAUUGACGGGGGCCCGCACAAGCGGUGGGGCAUGUGGUUUAAUUCGAAGCAACGCGAAGAACCUUACCAGGUCUUGACAUCCUUUGACCACUCUAGAGAUAGAGCUUUCCCUUCGGGGACAAAGUGACAGGUGGUGCAUGGUUGUCGUCAGCUCGUGUCGUGAGAUGUUGGGUUAAGUCCCGCAACGAGCGCAACCCUUAUUACUAGUUGCCAGCAUUUAGUUGGGCACUCUAGUGAGACUGCCGGUGACAAACCGGAGGAAGGUGGGGACGACGUCAAAUCAUCAUGCCCCUUAUGACCUGGGCUACACACGUGCUACAAUGGAUGGUACAACGAGUUGCGAGACCGCGAGGUUUAGCUAAUCUCUUAAAACCAUUCUCAGUUCGGAUUGUAGGCUGCAACUCGCCUACAUGAAGCCGGAAUCGCUAGUAAUCACGGAUCAGCAUGCCGCGGUGAAUACGUUCCCGGGC